AAAAAAGCCACAUCGGAUGAAUUAUGGUUUCCUUCUCUUUCUCAGAGCCGCAGUAGCCCACGGCCACAUCUAGUUAGAACGUAGAGCCGUUAACCAUCAUCACCGGAGACUGAGCCUCGACGUGGAAACACUUCAGCAGCUCUUUGGCGGGAGACUGAAGUAUCUGGCUUACUCGGUGUCACGUCUCCUUUUGUGCACCUUCUGUGGGACUGCUGGGAGCAAAGUGAAGUUGUUGGGGCCUUCAAGACUUUGGUGUUGCCCAGAGCCUUUGCUGGAAGAAUCCCUGAUGUUGAAUCUGAUCACCUAUCAGACCCCCACUGGCCACCACUUUGACUUCCUGACUGGGCACCAUGUCGCGUACCCGUCAACUAAAUCAUCUCCUUUCAACUGCCUGUAACCAGGUUGGUUUGUUUCAAUAAAGGGCACAAGGACUUUGAAGAGUACUCCAGUGCAUUUGACAUUAAAAUGCUUUGUGCAGCCAGAUGUCAAUUCCACCUGCCCAGAAGCUUAUGCGGAACUGUGACCGGGGCUGACCCAGACGGAGCUGGGCUUUUCUUCGCCUCCAGAAUCUUGUGAGACCGGUAAAAGUGAGAGGCCCGCCAACCACAGGGGCUAUUUGGCAAAACACGAAGCAGCCUUAGAAGGUGGGUCAUUGCUCUGUUCAGCAGCCAGCCAGAGACAACAAAUAAAAUGGAAGAUCCUUCUCUGUGGCA
Molecule: long non-coding RNA, 713 nt
Filed under: Ursus maritimus (polar bear)
Lineage: Eukaryota; Metazoa; Chordata; Mammalia; Carnivora; Ursidae
Description: lncRNA (ENSUMAG00000022245.1)
Source: RNAcentral